GACGAACGCUGGCGGCGUGCCUAUACAUGCAGGUCGAACGCAUUUUCUUUCACCGUAGCUUGCUACACCGAAAGAAAAUGAGUGGCGAACGGGUGAGUAACACGUGGGUAACCUGCCCAUCAGCGGGGGAUAACACUUGGAAACAGGUGCUAAUACCGCAUAAUUCCAUUUACCGCAUGGUAGAUGGGUGAAAGGCGCUUUUGCGUCACUGAUGGAUGGACCCGCGGUGCAUUAGCUAGUUGGCGGGGUAACGGCCUACCAAGGCUGCGAUGCAUAGCCGACCUGAGAGGGUGAUCGGCCACACUGGGACUGAGACACGGCCCAGACUCCUACGGGAGGCAGCAGUAGGGAAUCUUCGGCAAUGAACGCAAGUCUGACCGAGCAACGCCGCGUGAGUGAAGAAGGUUUUCGGAUCGUAAAACUCUGUUGUUAGAAAAGAACAAGGAUGAGAGUGGAAAGUUCAUCCCUUGACGGUAUCUAACAGAAAGCCACGGCUAACUACG
Molecule: ribosomal RNA, 503 nt
Filed under: uncultured bacterium
Lineage: Bacteria
Description: bacterial SSU rRNA
Rfam family: Bacterial small subunit ribosomal RNA
Source: RNAcentral